CGGUGACUGUUUUAUAAAAUAUUGUUUCAGUCCCGCUCUUUAACUUAAAUGUCUCUCUCUCUCUCUCUCCAGUCUCCCCCCCUCCCCUCUCUCUUCAAAAACCAGAUCUGCGACCCUCACAACCCCCUCCGUUUCCAACCAUCACUGAUGGCCUCUCCUUCUAUCUUUUUCAUGUUAUCUGCACUUUCCUUCACACAUGGGUCUGAUCAAUUUUAUAACAGUUGUAUUGUUUGGCUGUUAAAACCCUCUGCCAACCUCAUCUCUCAGGUAUAGUUUCUGGGUUUGAGUUUUUAUUGAUUUGAGAUGGACUUUGAAUUGGGUUUUCCUGAGGAGACCAAUCUUGUAUCUUUCUUAGUACUGCUAAUAUCUACUAAUACUACUGCAUCUAACAAUAUUGAAUCGCUGCAUGAAGUACCACUUGAAAGGAGCUUUCUGUUAGAUUUAUUUGAUCCGAAUCCCAUUUUACAUGAUGGAACUUUCUGUUGUACUUUACUGUAUAUGAAUAUCUCUUUAAAGGUAGUCAUAUGCUUCUUCUUUCUUAUCUUGCUCCUGCAGUUUGCUUCAACAAGGAAUGAAACAAAUAAUAAUAAGCCCAGAAACCUCUGAAGCUAAAGCAUUAGAGAAGGUGGAGGAUAAGUCCAAAGUUGCCAGGGCAUUGAAGGAAAGUGUUCUCCAUCAAAUAUGUGAGGCAAAGCCAUUGGCUUUGAUCAUUGAUUGGAAUUCACUCCUGUCUAACAAAAAGAAGAGAACUGUGAUGUAUUUCUUUGUAUUUUGCUGCUGAGUUAACUGACUAAUUUUUGUGCAAGCUGAUUUACUUAGCAACUUGGAUAAUUACUGCUUACUCAUUUCCUUUGCAAUUUGGGCUUUUGUUAAUUGUUUUUAUACCCUAUACUAAUAUUUGUGUAUGUUGUUAUUAAUUGCAGGCACAUACUAUACUAGAUUUCCCAACUUUCUUGCUUGUUAGCUCAAUAGAAAAUAGUUGAUUGAGCCUUCAAACAUUUAAAACCAAUUGCAGGUGCUUGGCAGCAAAGGGUGAAGAGUCUGGUGAAUGUGAAAGAUAUUCCAAAUAUUAUCGUUCGCCAUGCCCAGGUGAAUGGGCAAGUAUUUCUUAGCUCAUUUCUUCUGCAAUUAUUUGUCUUCCAAUAAAAUCUGAUUGGAAGUUUAACUUCUUCUGUUAAACUUUUUCAUAAAUGUAUUAAAUUGUUGGUACUUUACUCAUACGUAGAUUGUCAUUGCAUAAACUGUGACAUGACUGUGUAAGGAUUGCUUAAUCUGAACUUUAACUUGCAGCAUAGCCCUGGCAAAGUUUGCACCAGAAUCACAGGGCACACUGAAUUUUAAGUUUGGAACUUCUUCUGGAGCUGUAUCUUAGCCUUGAGAACUUUUUAGUUAGAAACUUGUAUGUGAUAACAGUACUAUUGGGAUGGAGUGGGUUAUGUAAUGCUGUAUUGGGUUUGAUUUAUAAUACUCAUAGUGACAUUACUGUAAUCUCUAUGGUACAAUGAAUGAAGUUAUUAAUUUUAUUUUCA
Rosa rugosa (rugosa rose) is the source of this 1529-nucleotide long non-coding RNA. RefSeq lists it as uncharacterized. The transcript has 3 exons. NCBI's taxonomy places the organism in Eukaryota, Viridiplantae, Streptophyta, Magnoliopsida, Rosales, Rosaceae. The record is from RefSeq and is a predicted model, not a curated record.